This 146-nucleotide unclassified non-coding RNA is filed under the name soil metagenome. RNAcentral's name for it is "partial internal transcribed spacer 1". The record is from RNAcentral.
CCGAGUUUACAACUCCCAAACCCCUGUGAACAUACCAAUUGUUGCCUCGGCGGAUCAGCCCGCUCCCGGUAAACGGGACGGCCCGCCAGAGGACCCCUAAACUCUGUUUCUAUAUGUAACUUCUGAGUAAAACCAUAAAUAAAUCA